This is a non-coding RNA of Equus caballus (horse), 310 nucleotides long. NCBI's taxonomy places the organism in Eukaryota, Metazoa, Chordata, Mammalia, Perissodactyla, Equidae. The record is from RefSeq and is a predicted model, not a curated record.
CCCCCCGCCAUAGCUGUCGAUCGCUACGUGGCACGCCUACGUUUGCCCAAAAGAGCAGUCCGAUGGACAGCGUGGGUGCUUUUCCCAGCAGGCAGGCAGGAGACAAAACUCCCCUGCCAAAGGGGCCCUCCCGAAACGGGGAGUGAGGAAGACCUCCUUCUCUUCACGGCUGAAGUUCUCCCUGCCUUUCCUGGACGGGAAGGAUAGCACCUACGCCCGCUGCCGUCGGCGACUUUUAGUCCACCUGGAGAGGAAGAAAUUCUUUCCCGUGGCCGAACCCUGGCGGUUCGUUCGUGCUGCAGAGGACGUG